GAUGAACGCUGGCGGCGUGCUUAACACAUGCAAGUCGAACGGAACUACUCCAAUGAGAGUCUUCGGAAAGGAUUUGGUUUAGUUUAGUGGCGGACGGGUGAGUAACGCGUGGGUAACCUGCCCUAUACAGGGGGAUAACAGUUGGAAACGACUGUUAAUACCGCAUAAGCGCACAGGAGCGCAUGCUCCGGUGUGAAAAACUCCGGUGGUAUAGGAUGGACCCGCGUCUGAUUAGCUGGUUGGCGGGGUAACGGCCCAGCAAGGCGACGAUCAGUAGCCGGCCUGAGAGGGUGAACGGCCACAUUGGGACUGAGACACGGCCCAAACUCCGACGGGAGGCAGCAGUGGGGAAUAUUGCACAAUGGGGGAAACCCUGAUGCAGCGACGCCGCGUGAGCGAAGAAGUAUCUCGGUAUGUAAAGCUCUAUCAGCAGGGAAGAAAAUGACGGUACCUGACUAAGAAGCCCCGGCUAACUACGUG
RNAcentral lists this ribosomal RNA (480 nucleotides) under uncultured bacterium. RNAcentral's name for it is "partial 16S ribosomal RNA". It matches the Rfam family "Bacterial small subunit ribosomal RNA", at positions 28 to 507 of the family's 1533-position model. The record is from RNAcentral.